GGCGGCGUGCUUAACACAUGCAAGUCGAGUGCGCGCCUGUAGCAAUACAGGUGGCGCACGGCGCACGGGUGCGUAACACGUGGGUAAUCUGCCCUUCGAUGGGGAAUAACUCGCCGAAAGGCGAGCUAAUUCCGCAUAACAUUCCGAGAACUUUGGUUUUUGGAUUCAAAGGCGUAAGUCGUCGGAGGAGGAGCCCGCGCACGAUUAGCUAGUUGGUGAGGUAAUGGCUCACCAAGGCUAUGAUCGUUAGCUGGUCUGAGAGGAUGGCCAGCCACACUGGAACUGAGACACGGUCCAGACUCCUACGGGAGGCAGCAGUGGGGAAUCUUGCACAAUGGGCGAAGGCCUGAUGCANCGACGCCGCGUGGGGGAUGAAGCUUUUCGGAGUGUNAACCCCUUUCGACCCGGACGAAUGCCCCGCAAGGGGACUGACGGUACGGGU
Molecule: ribosomal RNA, 442 nt
Filed under: uncultured Acidobacteriota bacterium
Lineage: Bacteria; Pseudomonadati; Acidobacteriota
Description: bacterial SSU rRNA
Rfam family: Bacterial small subunit ribosomal RNA
Source: RNAcentral